Molecule: ribosomal RNA, 753 nt
Filed under: Dictyocoela sp. EML-22
Lineage: Eukaryota; Fungi; Microsporidia
Description: partial small subunit ribosomal RNA
Rfam family: Microsporidia small subunit ribosomal RNA
Source: RNAcentral
AUUUGUUCUCCUGGGACGGACAACAUCGGGAAACUGAUGGGAAAACGUCUAAGUUGCAGUUAAUUGACUGUGACGUAAACCUUUGUGUGCAGGAGAGUAAGAUGCCAUCCUAUCAGUUAGUAAGUAGGGUAAGGGCCUACUUAGACGAAGACGGGUACGGGGAAUGAGGGUUUGAUUCCGGAGAGGGAGCCUGAGAGAUGGCUACCAGGACCAAGGUCAGCAGCAGGCGCGAAAAUUAUCGAAGCCCGCCUAGGGGCGAUAGUGAGGAGACGUGUAUAACGAAGUACGUGUAAAGAACGUGCUAAUAACUGGAGGUCAAGUCUGGUGCCAGCAUCCGCGGUAAUUCCAGCUCCAGGGGUGUCUAUGAUGAUUGCUGCGAUUAAAAAGUCCGUAGUCAAUCUGACUGACUGACCUGCAAUGUGAUUGAUUAAAGAACGAGCAGGGUUAGGAAAGCAGAGAAUUAGGAGCGACCGAGGGCUAGAGUAUUGAAUGGCGAGAGGUGAAAUUUGAUGACCCAUUCAGGAGUGACAAAGGCGAAAGCACUAGUCAAGGGCGAAUCCGAUGAUCAAGGACGUAGGCUAGAGUUUCGAAAACGAUUAGAGACCGGAGUAGUUCUAGCAGUAAACUAUGCCGACGCCGUGGUAUCAAUAAUGGUAUUGCGGAAGAGAAAUCAAGUAAGGCUUUGGGGAGAGUACGCGCGCAAGCGAUAAAUUAAAGGAAAUUGACGGAGGAACACCACAAGGUUGGGCGUGC